Molecule: long non-coding RNA, 303 nt
Filed under: Mytilus galloprovincialis (Mediterranean mussel)
Lineage: Eukaryota; Metazoa; Mollusca; Bivalvia; Mytilida; Mytilidae
Source: RNAcentral
GAAAUAACUUCACAGCUCGCAGAUAAAUUAUAUGCCUACCUGUACUCAAGUCAAGGACGGGAAGACAUUUUGAAUCCUCCUGGUGAAACUUAAAUUGCAGAAGUCUCGAACAGAUCACUUGGGCGAGUCGUGCCAUCACGACUUCAAAGUGUAAUAAAGCGAUGGUGCGAUGGUCAAGAAGUAAAAUAAAUUAUUGAAGAUGCAGACGUAAAAAUUAGACUGAGAGUCAAGGAUAUAGAGUCGAAACUGCUGGAAAUUGAGAUUGAGAUGACAGGAAUAGACCCAAGAGUCGAAGGCAGUCGC